This 431-nucleotide ribosomal RNA is filed under the name uncultured bacterium. RNAcentral's name for it is "partial 16S ribosomal RNA". It matches the Rfam family "Bacterial small subunit ribosomal RNA", at positions 29 to 507 of the family's 1533-position model. The record is from RNAcentral.
AGCGAACGCUGGCGGCAGGCUUAACACAUGCAAGUCGAGCGCCCCGCAAGGGGAGCGGCAGACGGGUGAGUAACACGUGGGAACGUACCCUUUGGUUCGGAACAACCCAGGGAAACUUGGGCUAAUACCGGAUAAGUCCGCGAGGAGAAAGAUUUAUCGCCGAAGGAUCGGCCCGCGUCUGAUUAGCUAGUUGGUGUGGUAACGGCGCACCAAGGCGACGAUCAGUAGCUGGUCUGAGAGGAUGAUCAGCCACACUGGGACUGAGACACGGCCCAGACUCCUACGGGAGGCAGCAGUGGGGAAUAUUGGACAAUGGGGGCAACCCUGAUCCAGCCAUGCCGCGUGAGUGAUGAAGGCCCUAGGGUUGUAAAGCUCUUUCGGUGGGGAAGAUAAUGACGGUACCCACAGAAGAAGCCCCGGCUAACUUCGUU